RNAcentral lists this ribosomal RNA (520 nucleotides) under uncultured Diversispora. RNAcentral describes it as "SSU rRNA". It matches the Rfam family "Eukaryotic small subunit ribosomal RNA", at positions 569 to 1085 of the family's 1831-position model. Lineage: Eukaryota; Fungi; Glomeromycota; Glomeromycetes; Diversisporales; Diversisporaceae. The record is from RNAcentral.
AGCAGCCGCGGUAAUUCCAGCUCCAAUAGCGUAUAUUAAAGUUGUUGCAGUUAAAAGCUCGUAGUUGAACUUCGGGGUUUACCCAUUGGUCAGGCUUAAUUGUCUGUACUGGUGAGAUGAAUCUCUACCUUCUGAGGAACUUUCAUGCCAUUUAUUUGGUGUGAUUGGAAGUCAGGACUGUUACUUUGAAAAAUUAGAGUGUUUAAAGCAGGCAACGUCUGAAUACAUUAGCAUGGAAUAAUGAGAUAGGACGGACUGAUUCUAUUUCGUUGGUUUCUAGGAUCACCGUAAUGAUUAAUAGGGAUAGUCGGGGGCAUUAGUAUUCAAUUGUCAGAGGUGAAAAUUCUUGGAUUCAUUGAAGACUAACUACUGCGAAAAGCAUUCGCCAAAGGAUGUUUUCAUUAAUCAAGAACGAAAGUUAGGGGAUCGAAGACUGAUCAGAUACCGUCGUAGUCUUAACCAGUAAAACUAUGCCGACUAGGGAUCGGACGAAGUUAAUUUAUAAAUGACGCGUUCGGCA